Molecule: long non-coding RNA, 2704 nt
Organism: Oncorhynchus tshawytscha (Chinook salmon)
Lineage: Eukaryota; Metazoa; Chordata; Actinopteri; Salmoniformes; Salmonidae
Source: Ensembl
AAGAACUCAAUGGGCUCCAACAGAACUCAACGGGCUCCAGCAGAACUCAAUGGGCUCCAAAAGAACUCAAUGGGCUCCAAAAGAACUCAAUGGGCUCCAAAAGAACUCAAUGGGCUCCAACAGAACUCAAUGGGCUCCAAAAGAACUCAAUGGGCUCCAAAAGAACUCAAUGGGAUCAAUCCAACAGAACUCAAUAGAACUGCUCCAGAACCACACCUUUUGUGUGUGUACAAGGUAUGUGGUUGAUGUUUUCGUAUUCAUUGUCUUGUUAAAUACCAUCGUUAGAGACCGUGUCAGUUAUCACAGUGACUUCACAAUACAAGCAGUUCAUUUGUCUUGACUUUGAAUUGCUUUUCUUUGUUUUAAAUAAUGUUUUUAUUCUAAAUGUACAAUAUUAACACAUUUUAUCCAAUACAUCCCAGAUCCUCCAAAGGAGAAAUCGACGUUAAAUCGACUAUAUAUAUAUAUUUUAUAUAUCAUUAUUUUGCCACACCUCCCCCACCUUAUAUAUAUCUAUACGCUCUUCACUUCACAUAUCCACCUUAUAUAUAUAUAUAUAUAUAUAUAUACACUUUAUUUUAGACAUCAAUAUUCUCCAAUACGCUCCUUCACGGGGGGUAGAUGGGUCUGUCUGAGGAGGGAAUCGGAGGGUGGUCCGGUGGGGAGGAAGUGUUAGGGGGCGGUAACGACGGGGUGAGCUUGAGCUGGGGGGGGGUACAGGAGCAUUGCAGGGGCGACAGCAGCUUCGCCAACCACACCCCCCAAAAAAAGGGACAUUCAGCAGUCAUAAUCCAAUACCUACACGGUAAUGUAACCAUACCACAUUAUAUUUACACCGUUCUGUACCUCCCUCACUCUCCUUUCAACAUUCUGUAAACCCCUCACCUGAGGAUUCUCUUCCUGUUCCGGGAACCGCAAUAUCAUCACUUUACACCCCAGCUUCCUUAAAUCACUCUUUAACUUGGCCUGGUCCUUUACCAGUUUUAAUACACCCACCUUCUCAUUUCACUCUGUUCAUCAGCAACAGCAGACCCAUAGGUGGUGGUGGUGGGGGGCAUGUUGAGGGGUGGAGAUGAAAGGAAAAGGAGAGCGAGGAAAGGUAAUUUGGGAGAGAGAGAGAGAUGGUGAAAAGUUAAGUGGGAGAGAGAGAGAGAGAUGGUGAAAAGUUAAGUGGGAGAGAGAGAGAGAUGGUGAAAAGUUAAGUGGGAGAGAGAGAGAGAUGGUGAAAAGUUAGUGGGAGAGAGAGAGAGAGAUGGUGAAAAGUUAAGUGGGAGAGAGAGAGAGAUGGUGAAAAGUUAAGUGGGAGAGAGAGAGAGAUGGUGAAAAGUUAAGUGGGAGAGAGAGAGAGAGAGAGGUUGAUUUUGGAUCAUUUGAGAUCCAUGAUCAUAAAGUGUACGUUGUUGGUGUGUACAGUAACUGCUAGUCUCUCUGUAAAGUCACAUGAUCAUGGCAAAGUGCUGUUGCCAUGGGAUCAAAAUGCCCACCCAGACCAGAGACAGACAGGGAAGUGGACCUAUGAGAGUAGAGCAUCGCACAGACUGACCAUCCUAUUGGCUAUACCUGACACACAGGAGGCUGUGGAAACUGACAGUGAACCCUGAGAAGCCGGUCAGCCGUUUGGCUGACACCUACAGAGGGCCAUGAUUUAAACCAAAUGUUUAGUGCUGGGUUGGAACAAAAGCCUGCACUGGCCAACUUGGAUAUGAUAGAGAAGAGCCUCUUCUCUUCUCUUUUCAGAGGGCCAUGAUUUAAAACAAAUGUUUAGUGCUGGGUUGGAACAAAAGCCUGCACUGGCCAACAUAGAUAUGAUAGAGAAGAGCCUCUUCUCUUUGGCAUCUCUACAUGAGUGUAUUUCCAUCACCACCACUCAGUUUAGUUCAAGCAUAAACUCAAUAACACACUUCAUCACAGUCUUGUCUGCAUCUCAAAUUGCACCCUAUUCAUUCCCCCAUUUAGUGCACUACUUUUGACCAAGGGCUCUGAUCAAAACUAGUGCACUACUUUUAGUGCACUACUUUUGAACAAGGGCUCUGAUCAAAACUAGUGCACUACUUUUAGUGCACUGCUUUUAGUGCACUACUUUUGACCAAGGGCUCUGAUCAAAACUAGUGCACUACUUUUAGUGCACUGCUUUUAGUGCACUACUUUUGACCAAGGGCUCUGAUCAAAACUAGUGCACUACUUUUAGUGCACUACUUUUGAACAAGGGCUCUGAUCAAAACUAGUGCACUACUUUUAGUGCACUGCUUUUAGUGCACUACUUUUGACCAAGGGCUCUGAUCAAAACUAGUGCACUACUUUUAGUGCACUGCUUUUAGUGCACUACUUUUGACCAAGGGCUCUGAUCAAAACUAGUGCACUACUUUUAGUGCACUGCUUUUAGUGCACUACUUUUGACCAAGGGCUCUGAUCAAAACUAGUGCACUACUUUUAGUGCACUGCUUUUAGUGCACUACUUUUGACCAAGGGCUCUGAUCAAAACGAGUGCACUACUUUUAGUGCACUGCUUUUAGUGCACUACUUUUGACCAAGGGCUCUGAUCAAAACUAGUGUGCACCAGUAAAACUACUCUCUAUUAAACACAUAUUCUGAUAUCAUGUUUGUUCUGUGUCUCCUUCCUCGACUGACUGACAACCUGUCUACAACGUUCCUCUUCCGGUGUCUCCUUCCUCGACUGACUGACAACCUGUCUACAACGUUCCUC